This 643-nucleotide ribosomal RNA is filed under the name uncultured Actinomycetes bacterium. Its description in RNAcentral is "bacterial SSU rRNA". It matches the Rfam family "Bacterial small subunit ribosomal RNA", at positions 232 to 885 of the family's 1533-position model. The record is from RNAcentral. Lineage: Bacteria; Bacillati; Actinomycetota; Actinomycetes.
CGCGGCCUAUCAGCUUGUUGGUGAGGUAACGGCUCACCAAGGCGACGACGGGUAACCGGCCUGAGAGGGUGACCGGUCACACUGGGACUGAGACACGGCCCAGACUCCUACGGGAGGCAGCAGUGGGGAAUAUUGCACAAUGGGCGCAAGCCUGAUGCAGCAACGCCGCGUGAGGGAUGACGGCCUUCGGGUUGUAAACCUCUUUUAGCAGGGAAGAAGCGAAAGUGACGGUACCUGCAGAAAAAGCACCGGCUAACUACGUGCCAGCAGCCGCGGUAAUACGUAGGGUGCAAGCGUUGUCCGGAAUUAUUGGGCGUAAAGAGCUCGUAGGCGGUUUGUCACGUCUGCUGUGAAAAUCCAAGGCUCAACCUUGGACUUGCAGUGGGUACGGGCAGGCUAGAGUGCGGUAGGGGAGAUGGGAAUUCCUGGUGUAGCGGUGGAAUGCGCAGAUAUCAGGAGGAACACCAAUGGCGAAGGCACAUCUCUGGGCCGUAACUGACGCUGAGGAGCGAAAGCGUGGGGAGCGAACAGGAUUAGAUACCCUGGUAGUCCACGCCGUAAACGGUGGGUGCUAGCUGUGGGCCACAUUCCACGUGGUCCGUGACGAAGUCAACACAUUAAGCACCCCGCCUGGGGAGUACGG